This 440-nucleotide ribosomal RNA is filed under the name uncultured bacterium. RNAcentral describes it as "partial 16S ribosomal RNA". It matches the Rfam family "Bacterial small subunit ribosomal RNA", at positions 338 to 795 of the family's 1533-position model. The record is from RNAcentral.
CCUACGGGAGGCAGCAGUGGGGAAUAUUGCACAAUGGGGGAAACCCUGAUGCAGCGACGCCGCGUGAGUGAAGAAGUAUUUCGGUACGUAAAGCUCUAUCAGCAGGGAAGAAAAUGACGGUACCUGACUAAGAAGCACCGGCUAACUACGUGCCAGCAGCCGCGGUAAUACGUAGGGGGCAAGCGUUAUCCGGAUUUACUGGGUGUAAAGGGAGCGUAGACGGCAGCGCAAGUCUGGAGUGAAAUCCCAUGGCUUAACCAUGGAACUGCUUUGGAAACUGUGCAGCUAGAGUGCAGGAGAGGUAAGCGGAAUUCCUAGUGUAGCGGUGAAAUGCGUAGAUAUUAGGAGGAACACCAGUGGCGAAGGCGGCUUACUGGACUGUAACUGACGUUGAGGCUCGAAAGCGUGGGGAGCAAACAGGAUUAGAUACCCGGGUAGUC